Molecule: ribosomal RNA, 464 nt
Filed under: Vreelandella stevensii
Lineage: Bacteria; Pseudomonadati; Pseudomonadota; Gammaproteobacteria; Oceanospirillales; Halomonadaceae
Description: partial 16S ribosomal RNA
Rfam family: Bacterial small subunit ribosomal RNA
Source: RNAcentral
CCUAGGGAGGCAGCAGUGGGGAAUAUUGGACAAUGGGCGAAAGCCUGAUCCAGCCAUGCCGCGUGUGUGAAGAAGGCCUUCGGGUUGUAAAGCACUUUCAGUGGGGAAGAAAGCCUUGGGGCUAAUACCCUCGAGGAAGGACAUCACCCACAGAAGAAGCACCGGCUAACUCCGUGCCAGCAGCCGCGGUAAUACGGAGGGUGCGAGCGUUAAUCGGAAUUACUGGGCGUAAAGCGCGCGUAGGCGGUCUGAUAAGCCGGUUGUGAAAGCCCCGGGCUCAACCUGGGAACGGCAUCCGGAACUGUCAGGCUAGAGUGCAGGAGAGGAAGGUAGAAUUCCCGGUGUAGCGGUGAAAUGCGUAGAGAUCGGGAGGAAUACCAGUGGCGAAGGCGGCCUUCUGGACUGACACUGACGCUGAGGUGCGAAAGCGUGGGUAGCAAACAGGAUUAGAUACCCCAGUAGUC